This 497-nucleotide ribosomal RNA is filed under the name uncultured bacterium. Its description in RNAcentral is "partial 16S ribosomal RNA". It matches the Rfam family "Bacterial small subunit ribosomal RNA", at positions 28 to 507 of the family's 1533-position model. The record is from RNAcentral.
GAUGAACGCUGGCGGCGUGCCUAAUACAUGCAAGUCGAGCGAACAGACGAGGAGCUUGCUCCUCUGACGUUAGCGGCGGACGGGUGAGUAACACGUGGAUAACCUACCUAUAAGACUGGGAUAACUUCGGGAAACCGGAGCUAAUACCGGAUAAUAUAUUGAACCGCAUGGUUCAAUAGUGAAAGACGGUUUUGCUGUCACUUAUAGAUGGAUCCGCGCCGCAUUAGCUAGUUGGUAAGGUAACGGCUUACCAAGGCGACGAUGCGUAGCCGACCUGAGAGGGUGAUCGGCCGCACUGGAACUGAGACACGGUCCAGACUCCUACGGGAGGCAGCAGUAGGGAAUCUUCCGCAAUAGGCGAAAGCCUGACGGAGCAACGCCGCGUGAGUGAUGAAGGUCUUCGGAUCGUAAAACUCUGUUAUUAGGGAAGAACAAAUGUGGAAGUAACUAUGCACGUCUUGACGGUACCUAAUCAGAAAGCCACGGCUAACUACGUG